CUCGUAGGCGGUUCAACAAGUCGAUCGUGAAAGCCCGGGGCUCAACCCCGGGACGCCGGUCGAAACUGUUGUGACUAGGGUCCGGUAGAGGUGAGUGGAAUUCUCGGUGUAGCGGUGGAAUGCGCAGAUAUCGAGAGGAACACCAGUAGCGAAGGCGGCUCACUGGGCCGGUACCGACGCUGAGGAGCGAAAGCAUGGGGAGCAAACAGGAUUAGAUACCCUGGUAGUCC
RNAcentral lists this ribosomal RNA (230 nucleotides) under uncultured bacterium. Its description in RNAcentral is "partial 16S ribosomal RNA". It matches the Rfam family "Bacterial small subunit ribosomal RNA", at positions 568 to 796 of the family's 1533-position model. The record is from RNAcentral.